GACAACCAUGGCUACCAUCUCAACCUAGGACAUAACCCUAGCUUAGGACCUUUUUCUUGAACUAGGAGAACACUAAACUUCACACAAAACACAACCAGCCGCCGCCCUUACUCCACGAACGGAAAACCCCAAGACAACCGCUGCAACAACCCUACUUCUAUCCACCAGCGCACAAACACCACAACUCGCCGAACACCAUCACCAAACCGCCGGAAGCUAACACCUCCAAGGCCAUAAGACCACCCAGCUCCAUGCCAACCACCAGCCGCCCACGUCUCCAUCUCUCACCGGACUCAACUAGUCAACCUAGCUCGCCAGAAACCAACAACCACGCUAGGAACAUGCACACCCAGUCUUAAGCAGAAGGCCAGACAACUUGGUUUAGCGAUCUUCUUCGUUUGGUUUUCAGUUUUGGAACCAUGUAGUCCGAAGGAGUGUGAUUGAGUUUGUUUUGGUUUCACGCUUCUUGGCGCUGAUUCGAGUUUUCGGUUCUAAGAAUUUUUAGAUUCGCAGAGCUGUUGCUCUCGAGGUUCAUUCUCUUCCUACUUCUAUUAGCCGAUAUUUCCAUGAUUGGUGCUGAAAUUGCUUAUCGUUAGUUCUCUGUUGAAAUGGGAGAUGUUUCAGCUUCUUUGCUUUGUGUUAAACUAGUGUACUCAUUUCAUUUGAAUGUUAGGGUAUUUUUUUCAAAGAAAAGAGCAUAGGUUAGAGUAUAUU
RNAcentral lists this long non-coding RNA (714 nucleotides) under Nicotiana benthamiana. RNAcentral's name for it is "long non-coding RNA (NBEN_LNC010437)". The record is from RNAcentral. Lineage: Eukaryota; Viridiplantae; Streptophyta; Magnoliopsida; Solanales; Solanaceae.